Molecule: ribosomal RNA, 603 nt
Filed under: uncultured fungus
Lineage: Eukaryota; Fungi
Description: eukaryotic LSU rRNA
Rfam family: Eukaryotic large subunit ribosomal RNA
Source: RNAcentral
ACCCGCUGAACUUAAGCAUAUCAAUAAGCGGAGGAAAAGAAACCAACAGGGAUUGCCCUAGUAACGGCGAGUGAAGCGGCAACAGCUCAAAUUUGAAAUCUGGCGUCUUUGGCGUCCGAGUUGUAAUUUGCAGAGGGCGCUUUGGCAUUGGCAGCGGUCCAAGUUCCUUGGAACAGGACGUCACAGAGGGUGAGAAUCCCGUACGUGGUCGCUAGCCUUUACCGUGUAAAGCCCCUUCGACGAGUCGAGUUGUUUGGGAAUGCAGCUCUAAAUGGGAGGUAAAUUUCUUCUAAAGCUAAAUACUGGCCAGAGACCGAUAGCUCACAAGUAGAGUGAUCGAAAGAUGAAAAGCACUUUGGAAAGAGAGUUAAAAAGCACGUGAAAUUGUUGAAAGGGAAGCGCUGGCAGCCAGACUUGCCUGUAGUUGCUCAUCCGGGUUUUUACCCGGUGCACUCUUCUAUAGGCAGGCCAGCAUCAGUUUGGGCGGUUGGAUAAAGGUCUCUGUCAUGUACCUCUCUUCGGGGAGAACUUAUAGGGGAGACGACAUGCACCCAGCCCGGACUGAGGUCCGCGCAUCUGCUAGGAUGCUGGCGUAAUGGCUGU